Nasonia vitripennis (jewel wasp) is the source of this 5061-nucleotide long non-coding RNA. RefSeq lists it as uncharacterized. Lineage: Eukaryota; Metazoa; Arthropoda; Insecta; Hymenoptera; Pteromalidae. The transcript is spliced from 6 exons. The record is from RefSeq and is a predicted model, not a curated record.
GAUCAUUAAUUUGUGUAUAAACGAUUUUAGGGAGUGUAAUAAUAAUAACGUAUAACAUUUAUAAGUUAAUAAUACGAUUAGAAAAUAAUAAUCAACAGGACCUUUUUCGCAAUAGCAUUAUUCCAGCUCAGGAAACAGACUAAAGUAUUCCUGAUAAAUGCUGCACUACGGGAUAAUACUUAUUUAACAUGGUGGAUCAGUAUUCAAUUGUUUCUGUUCCUUUUUGCGUGUAACGGGCCUAAUCUUCAGUCACGACAGUGGCAGCACUUCCAUCUGUCUAGCAGCUACGGUAAUGCCGGAGCCGGAAUGGCAGUACCACACUGCAACGUACGACAGUCCCGCCAUCUACGACAUGUUGUAUGACACUUAUGGCGGAUUAUGUCGCGUUGUUGCGACCUAUAGUUUUGGACUUCUUGAACGACGACAGCGCCACUGUGUGCUCUCUCUUAAAUAGAUGUAUUCUUUUCUAAAUAGUUCUUAAUUCUGUUACUAUAAGGUUAAAAAGAUUAAUAUUUAUGGAGCAAAUUUUAUCAUUCUGUGCGUUAAAAGUAUAAGCUAAUGUAUUUUAUCAAAUUAAUAAUUUUCAGAUUUUCCGUAAAAGCCAUGGAGUGAUGCUAGCAAAUUGUGUAAGGAGUGAAGUUGCUUUUGAUUACUAAUAGUGUUAUUCUAAAAUUAUAUUUAUGUAGUUUAUGAUUCGAAUCGUUUGUCCAAUUUUAAUAUUGAAGUUUACACUCCAUAUUUAGUUAGUAUUUUAGAUUUUAGUUUGUUUUGACUUUUCAAUUUGAAAUUGUAAAUUAUAUUGCAUAUAUUGUAGGUACAUAAUAAUAUUGUUUGAGAGUUGUUCUUUUUCUCUAAUUAUUAGUGAUAUAUGCGCGUGUAUGUAUAUAAUUUGUUGAAUUGCACAAGUGUCACAUGUAUGCGUAUCCUGCCUUCAAUAAAGUACUUCGAUGGAAUUAUUAGAUAAGUGAUUUAUUAUGUUUGUAGCAGAUGAAUUUUUCUAUCAGCCUCUUGACUAGUAAAGUAUAUUAUUUUUAAUUUAUUAAAAUUAUUAUUUAUCUUGUAUAUAAAUGAUUUUGUUGAAUUUUAUUGCAAAGUAUAAUGUAAUUUUUCAACGCAAUAAUGAUUGUUAUUUAUGACUGUUAUAAUUUGCUAUGUAUAAUCUAAUUACGAUUUAAUUAAUGUAUACAAUGCAUAAAUUACAAUUUAGUAAAAGUAACUUGUUCAAUAUUUGUUUACAAAGUCGAUUCUGUGAUGCAGUAACCAUAUAUCAUUGAGUUAAUGAUUUACAUUUUUAUAUUUUAUAUGUAUUUUUAUAAUGAGUGUUUAAUAUAGUUAGAGUGAAAACAAUUCAUAUUUUCUUAAGAUUUAAGGUUAUGCAGAGGGAUAAAAUAUCAAAGUUAUGUAUAUAUAGAUAUACAUAUGCUCAGUGAUGGCUUAGAAAAUAGUAUAUUGAACAUAUAUAGUCAUUGUACAAGUAUUUCAUAGCAGCAAGUGUGAAAAGUUUAGUUUUUCAAGAAUUUAGUAUGGGUAUUGUGAAAAAAUGUCAGUUUUUACCUUUAUUGGUCUACAAAAGUAUAUCUAAAAAGAUGCAUAAACAUGGUGAUCAUGUAGUAUACAGUAUAUUUAAUAUACAUAUUGAAUUUUACUGAAAAAAGUUGUUUCGAGCAAGUAUGUUUUGUAGUAUAAGGUCACUUCUUAUGAACAUUAGGUCCUGCGCACGGACGGAAAGUCAAUUAUUGGAGAAUGAGGCUUCGCUACUAGAAAGAUUUUUUUCAAUUGGGUAUUUAGAAUUUUUAAAUACUGUGAAUUUGUUCAGAAUUUAAUUUUCUACAAAAUAGCCAGAAUACUUUUAUGAAAAAACCUUUUUGUAAAAAAUGGCUCAGAAAGAAUUAAAAAAAAAAACACAGUUUUGGUCAAAUCCAAUAGGCAUUCGCCCUGAAUAUAUGACGUUUCUUUGAAACUCUUUAUACAGGGCGAGUGCCUAAAAACGAACACAAACCACAAGUAUAUCAUUACAAAUUAGCUAAUGGAAGGUAAAAUUUUAAUUUUUUUAAACUUGACUUAAAUUUGACAAAAUUUAUUUUCUAAAGUACUUAUCCUAUCUUACUCUAUUUCACAUCAUUCUUCUGGUGGAAGGACGAUUCGUAAAUCUAGGCUGUGCAACAGGACUUUCAAGUUUUGUUAUGAGCAAUUACUUGACAAACCAAACACUUGCUCAAAUCGAAUUACGGACUAAAGCAGGAGCUUACUCUGUAGGUGUCUACACGCUACCCAAAAAGGCUGGACGAAGAAGAAAGCUGCUUUACAUUGUGAUCAUGUGGGUGUAAAAUUGAUAAAACUGAGACAAAGUCAAGCUUAAUACUUAGAUAUCCUUGAUGUUGAGGGGCCAUUUAAGUCAGGUCAUUACAGUUAUUACAAUAAAAAAAGCUACACUACUAGUUUUUGCAAAGGUAUUUUCUGAGACAUCGCUUAGCGUUGUACCUAAAAUAGUAUCCUUCUGUGUGGCUGGUGCUGAUUUUAAAAUAAGAUUGUAUAAUACGGAUUUAAACGAGAGUAAUAUAUCUGAGGCAUUGGAAGGUCAUAAAGCUUAUGCAAAUGAUAUUUGCUAUGAUCCUGAUGGUGAAUUUCUUGUAUCUGUCUCCGAUGAUCAUACAUGCAAACUUUGGGCAAUUAAACAGGAUCAAAAUUCAUUUUAACUUUUCCACUAACUGCUUCAGGAAUGACUGUGCGACAGCACACUGAAGAAACUGGAAUGCUAUUAGUAGCCGUAAAAAAGGACAUUAUUCUCAUGUACAAUGUCAGAAGUCAGCAAGCAAUUAUGUCAAUGGAUGCUGCAACUAUUCCAUUAUUGACUGCUGAUUGGAGUCUUAAUCCUUUAAAAGUUCUUUGUGUAGAUUCAGCAGAGGUUAUAUUAUGGGAUACGUCGAGGCAAAGACGAUGGUAAAACGGACUCUUCACCUGGAAGGUUUACUGAUGAUGAAAUUUUCUCCCUCUAACGAAAACCUCGUAGGUAGUAUAGGACGACGCGACAAUAUUUUAAAAGUUGUAAAUUUAAGUUGUUGACGUGUUGUGCUACUCGGUGCACCCGUCCCUAAGUAAGGGGCUGUCUAUGGUAUGACAGAGAUUUCUGCAGAUACGGCCAAUUGUUCCGACAUCAGCACGUAAGACGAGUGUUAUGUAUGACUUAUUUGGCAGGUUUCUGCCCUGAUGGAUCUACUUGUAAAUUUAUGCAUCUAAGAUUUGAGUUACCAGCUAACCAGGAUAUGCAGCCCAAGGAAGACAAGGAAGUGUUGAUCAUCUAUCUGUCAGUUUUGUGGUGAAACUGGGCACAAAGCAAUCUACUUUAACAAGAUACUUUCUGAUAUGAGCAAACAACAUGCACGCAAGGUGAUGAAUAAUGAAUCGUGAGUAUAUUGCGGAGGAGGCGGAGGUGGUGGUGAUCCUCACCGACGAAUCAAUAUGCAUAAUUGGCCACAUAACAACAUACCUCGUGGACCGCAAUACCUCUGGAAGAAGCCAUAGGCUACAAGUGCAUUGAAAAAGGUCAUUAUGUACAUCUCCCCUACUUAAGUACGAUAAACAAACAAAAUGAACAAAACAAUGUUUCCAAUUGGAAGCCUACUAUCUAAUAUGCAAAUUUCUUAAAAGAGAGGAAGAGAAAGGAAUUGCUAUUAAAUAGGAGAACGAGGCUCAGCAAACUCAGGAGGAUGAAGUAGUCUGUAUUUUAGAUGACGAGGAUAUCCAAGUUGUCAACUGUUUUUUUGUGAACAAAAAGAUGAAAAAUGAAAGUAUCCACAUGUGCAUUCGGGUCGUACUUUGAGGGGCAAACACGAGAAGAUGAAGUUCAUAGUUCUGGGUCGCUCUAUAUUGUUGAAUAUAAUUUAGUAAAAUGCAUGGAAUGGAAACUUUUGAAUUGGUGUAAGGAGUCAAGUUAAAACAAUUUUGAAGUCUACUCGAAUGUUAUACACUAGUUGAUUUGCGUUGUGAGUAACUUUUAGAUUUGUAUAAAGAAUCUAAAUAAACUGUACAUAAUAAAAAUAUUUAAACCAAUAAAAAUAUUUGAACCAACAUUUAUGUGUUUCUCUUAUUUAUUUGUAACAGGUUGCUUAUAAAAAUCUGUACAGUAACUUUGUAGGUGAACCGGUUUGCAUUUUUUAAACUUACUCUUUAAAUAAUAUGUGGAUAUUAAAUUACUUUAACCUUUUCAUUAUCUUUGCAAUAUGUUCACUUGAUAAGGUUUUUCUAAAAAAUAGAGUUUUUUGGCGCAUUUAUUAAACGAAUAAUCACUUAUAGUUAAUAAGAUUUUGCCUAAAUCAGUCCAAAGCUCAGAUAAAUCUGUUAAAAAUAAUAAACACAACACCUGCACAGUGAUUCUAGGAAAAUGUAUUACUUUCCACUACAAUCUUACACAUUCAAAUUAACUUAGAGAUGUAUUACAACAAAAAUAGAAAAAAUAUUUCUUUUAAUUAUUUAACUAACUUAGUUUGUAUUUCGUGUCGUAGAAUCGGGCGCCUCUUUAGAUAAGUUUGAUAAACCUGCUGUAAGAACUAUAUUAUUAUCUAUAUUAGUCUCAGAUUCAUUGGUGGGCUGCGUUACAGUUGACGAGUUUUUCUCAAUACCAAUACGUUUCUAAGACUGAGCUCUUCCAUCUCCCAAGUUUUGUGGCUCAUUGAAUAAUAUAUUCAUAUUCUCAGGAUUCGUGGGCGGUUGGGUGAGACCCAUUUCACUAUGUGAACUGCUGAUUUGAUUUUAAUCACUGAGAUGCUGAACAUUCUUUCGCCCAUAGUACUGAGGUACAAGAUAGUACUGGUUACCCCAUGGAUAUUUUGGAGCAGGAGUGUUGAUCGUUAAGUUGCACAAGUUGUAAGUACGUUCGGGUGCUGGAGCAGGUGUGUAGCCAGUGCGUUGAAAUCCUGGAGCACGAGUGUAGCCACUGCGUUGAAAUCCUGGAGUAGGUGUGUAGCCACUGCGUUGAAAUCCUGGAGCAGAAGUGUAGCCACUGCGAGUGUAGGCACUGGCCUGGGAUUAUGGACGAGGAGAGUACGCACUGCGUUGUGAAGA